CACACUAUCAUUAACUGAAUCCAUAGGUUAAUGAGGCGAACCGGGGGAACUGAAACAUCUAAGUACCCCGAGGAAAAGAAAUCAACCGAGAUUCCCCCAGUAGCGGCGAGCGAACGGGGAGGAGCCCAGAGCCUGAAUCAGUGUGUGUGUUAGUGGAAGCGUCUGGAAAGGCGCGCGAUACAGGGUGACAGCCCCGUACACAAAAAUGCACAUGCUGUGAGCUCGAUGAGUAGGGCGGGACACGUGGUAUCCUGUCUGAAUAUGGGGGGACCAUCCUCCAAGGCUAAAUACUCCUGACUGACCGAUAGUGAACCAGUACCGUGAGGGAAAGGCGAAAAGAACCCCGGCGAGGGGAGUGAAAAAGAACCUGAAACCGUGUACGUACAAGCAGUAGGAGCACAGAGCAAUCUGUGUGACUGCGUACCUUUUGUAUAAUGGGUCAGCGACUUAUAUUCUGUAGCAAGGUUAACCGAAUAGGGGAGCCGAAGGGAAACCGAGUCUUAACUGGGCGUUAAGUUGCAGGGUAUAGACCCGAAACCCGGUGAUCUAGCCAUGGGCAGGUUGAAGGUUGGGUAACACUAACUGGAGGACCGAACCGACUAAUGUUGAAAAAUUAGCGGAUGACUUGUGGCUGGGGGUGAAAGGCCAAUCAAACCGGGAGAUAGCUGGUUCUCCCCGAAAGCUAUUUAGGUAGCGCCUCGUGAAUUCAUCUCCGGGGGUAGAGCACUGUUUCGGCAAGGGGGUCAUCCCGACUUACCAACCCGAUGCAAACUGCGAAUACCGGAGAAUGUUAUCACGGGAGACACACGGCGGGUGCUAACGUCCGUCGUGAAGAGGGAAACAACCCAGACCGCCAGCUAAGGUCCCAAAGUCAUGGUUAAGUGGGAAACGAUGUGGGAAGGCCCAGACAGCCAGGAUGUUGGCUUAGAAGCAGCCAUCAUUUAAAGAAAGCGUAAUAGCUCACUGGUCGAGUCGGCCUGCGCGGAAGAUGUAACGGGGCUAAACCAUGCACCGAAGCUGCGGCAGCGACACUGUGUGUUGUUGGGUAGGGGAGCGUUCUGUAAGCCUGUGAAGGUGUGCUGUGAGGCAUGCUGGAGGUAUCAGAAGUGCGAAUGCUGACAUAAGUAACGAUAAAGCGGGUGAAAAGCCCGCUCGCCGGAAGACCAAGGGUUCCUGUCCAACGUUAAUCGGGGCAGGGUGAGUCGACCCCUAAGGCGAGGCCGAAAGGCGUAGUCGAUGGGAAACAGGUUAAUAUUCCUGUACUUGGUGUUACUGCGAAGGGGGGACGGAGAAGGCUAUGUUGGCCGGGCGACGGUUGUCCCGGUUUAAGCGUGUAGGCUGGUUUUCCAGGCAAAUCCGGAAAAUCAAGGCUGAGGCGUGAUGACGAGGCACUACGGUGCUGAAGCAACAAAUGCCCUGCUUCCAGGAAAAGCCUCUAAGCAUCAGGUAACAUCAAAUCGUACCCCAAACCGACACAGGUGGUCAGGUAGAGAAUACCAAGGCGCUUGAGAGAACUCGGGUGAAGGAACUAGGCAAAAUGGUGCCGUAACUUCGGGAGAAGGCACGCUGAUAUGUAGGUGAAGUCCCUCGCGGAUGGAGCUGAAAUCAGUCGAAGAUACCAGCUGGCUGCAACUGUUUAUUAAAAACACAGCACUGUGCAAACACGAAAGUGGACGUAUACGGUGUGACGCCUGCCCGGUGCCGGAAGGUUAAUUGAUGGGGUCAGCGCAAGCGAAGCUCUUGAUCGAAGCCCCGGUAAACGGCGGCCGUAACUAUAACGGUCCUAAGGUAGCGAAAUUCCUUGUCGGGUAAGUUCCGACCUGCACGAAUGGCGUAAUGAUGGCCAGGCUGUCUCCACCCGAGACUCAGUGAAAUUGAACUCGCUGUGAAGAUGCAGUGUACCCGCGGCAAGACGGAAAGACCCCGUGAACCUUUACUAUAGCUUGACACUGAACAUUGAGCCUUGAUGUGUAGGAUAGGUGGGAGGCUUUGAAGUGUGGACGCCAGUCUGCAUGGAGCCGACCUUGAAAUACCACCCUUUAAUGUUUGAUGUUCUAACGUGGACCCGUGAUCCGGGUUGCGGACAGUGUCUGGUGGGUAGUUUGACUGGGGCGGUCUCCUCCUAAAGAGUAACGGAGGAGCACGAAGGUUGGCUAAUCCUGGUCGGACAUCAGGAGGUUAGUGCAAUGGCAUAAGCCAGCUUGACUGCGAGCGUGACGGCGCGAGCAGGUGCGAAAGCAGGUCAUAGUGAUCCGGUGGUUCUGAAUGGAAGGGCCAUCGCUCAACGGAUAAAAGGUACUCCGGGGAUAACAGGCUGAUACCGCCCAAGAGUUCAUAUCGACGGCGGUGUUUGGCACCUCGAUGUCGGCUCAUCACAUCCUGGGGCUGAAGUAGGUCCCAAGGGUAUGGCUGUUCGCCAUUUAAAGUGGUACGCGAGCUGGGUUUAGAACGUCGUGAGACAGUUCGGUCCCUAUCUGCCGUGGGCGCUGGAGAACUGAGGGGGGCUGCUCCUAGUACGAGAGGACCGGAGUGGACGCAUCACUGGUGUUCGGGUUGUCAUGCCAAUGGCACUGCCCGGUAGCUAAAUGCGGAAGAGAUAAGUGCUGAAAGCAUCUAAGCACGAAACUUGCCCCGAGAUGAGUUCUCCCUGACCCUUUAAGGGUCCUGAAGGAACGUUGAAGACGACGACGUUGAUAGGCCGGGUGUGUAAGCGCAGCGAUGCGUUGAGCUAACCGGUACUAAUGAACCGUGAGGCUUAACCUUACAACGCCGAAGGUGUUU
RNAcentral lists this ribosomal RNA (2781 nucleotides) under Escherichia coli. RNAcentral describes it as "bacterial LSU rRNA". It matches the Rfam family "Bacterial large subunit ribosomal RNA". The record is from RNAcentral. Lineage: Bacteria; Pseudomonadati; Pseudomonadota; Gammaproteobacteria; Enterobacterales; Enterobacteriaceae.